UACGUAGGGUGCGAGCGUUGUCCGGAAUUAUUGGGCGUAAAGAGCUCGUAGGCGGUCUGUCGCGUCUGCUGUGAAAUCCCGAGGCUCAACCUCGGGCCUGCAGUGGGUACGGGCAGACUAGAGUGUGGUAGGGGAGACUGGAAUUCCUGGUGUAGCGGUGAAAUGCGCAGAUAUCAGGAGGAACACCGAUGGCGAAGGCAGGUCUCUGGGCCACUACUGACGUG
RNAcentral lists this ribosomal RNA (224 nucleotides) under uncultured bacterium. RNAcentral describes it as "partial 16S ribosomal RNA". It matches the Rfam family "Bacterial small subunit ribosomal RNA", at positions 524 to 747 of the family's 1533-position model. The record is from RNAcentral.